This 253-nucleotide ribosomal RNA is filed under the name uncultured bacterium. Its description in RNAcentral is "partial 16S ribosomal RNA". It matches the Rfam family "Bacterial small subunit ribosomal RNA", at positions 524 to 776 of the family's 1533-position model. The record is from RNAcentral.
UACGUAGGGGGCAAGCGUUGUCCGGAAUCAUUGGGCGUAAAGCGCGUGUAGGCGGCUCGAUAAGUCUGCUGUGAAAGUUCAGGGCUCAACCCUGAAAUGCCGGUGGAAACUGUCGAGCUAGAGUACGGAAGAGGUGAGUGGAAUUCCUGGUGUAGCGGUGAAAUGCACAGAUAUCAGGAGGAACACCAAUGGCGAAGGCAGCUCACUGGGACGUUACUGACGCUGAGACGCGAAAGCGUGGGGAGCAAACAGG